GACGAACGCUGGCGGCGUGCCUAAUACAUGCAAGUCGAGCGGAAUGAAGAAGAAGCUUGCUUCUUCUGAUUUUAGCGGCGGACGGGUGAGUAACACGUGGGCAACCUACCUUGUAGAUUGGGAUAACUCCGGGAAACCGGGGCUAAUACCGAAUAAUCCAUUUUGCUUCAUGGCGAAAUGUUAAAAGGCGGCUUCGGCUGUCACUGCAAGAUGGGCCCGCGGCGCAUUAGCUAGUUGGUAAGGUAACGGCUUACCAAGGCGACGAUGCGUAGCCGACCUGAGAGGGUGAUCGGCCACACUGGGACUGAGACACGGCCCAGACUCCUACGGGAGGCAG
Molecule: ribosomal RNA, 337 nt
Filed under: uncultured Bacillota bacterium
Lineage: Bacteria; Bacillati; Bacillota
Description: bacterial SSU rRNA
Rfam family: Bacterial small subunit ribosomal RNA
Source: RNAcentral